Molecule: ribosomal RNA, 343 nt
Filed under: uncultured bacterium
Lineage: Bacteria
Description: bacterial SSU rRNA
Rfam family: Bacterial small subunit ribosomal RNA
Source: RNAcentral
GGCUAACGCUGGCGGCGUGUCUUAGCCAUGCAAGUCGAGCGGGCCUGUGGGUUUACCUACAGGUCAGCGGCGGACGGCGGAGUAACACGUAGCUAACCUACCCCCUGGACGAGGAUAACCACCCGAAAGGGUGGCUAAUACCCGAUGUAGUCCCUAUCUGAGAUGGUAGGGAUGAAAGGUGGGCCCCUGCGAAAGCAAGCUCAUGCCAGGGGAGGGGGCUGCGGCCUAUCAGGUAGUUGGUGGGGUAACGGCCCACCAAGCCUAUGACGGGUAGCCGGCCUGAGAGGGUGACCGGCCCGAGGGACACUGAGACACGGCCCAGACUCCUACGGGAGGCAGCAUG